UGCGGGAUCGUCUAAUGGUAGGACGCCUGCCUCUGGAGCAGGUAAUCAUGGUUCGACCCCAUGUCCCGCAGCCA
This 74-nucleotide transfer RNA is filed under the name Candidatus Microgenomates bacterium. Its description in RNAcentral is "tRNA-Gln". It matches the Rfam family "tRNA". From Rfam's summary of the family: Transfer RNA (tRNA) molecules are approximately 80 nucleotides in length. Their secondary structure includes four short double-helical elements and three loops (D, anti-codon, and T loops). The record is from RNAcentral. Lineage: Bacteria; Candidatus Microgenomatota.